UACCUUUUGUAUAAUGGGUCAGCGACUUAUAUUCUGUAGCAAGGUUAACCGUAUAGGGGAGCCGUAGGGAAACCGAGUCUUAACCGGGCGUUAAGUUGCAGGGUAUAGACCCGAAACCCGGUGAUCUAGCCAUGGGCAGGUUGAAGGUUGGGUAACACUAACUGGAGGACCGAACCGACUAAUGUUGAAAAAUUAGCGGAUGACCUGUGGCUGGGGGUGAAAGGCCAAUCAAACCGGGAGAUAGCUGGUUCUCCCCGAAAGCUAUUUAGGUAGCGCCUCGUGAAUUCAUCUCCGGGGGUAGAGCACUGUUUCGGCUAGGGGGCCAUCCCGGCUUACCAACCCGAUGCAAACUGCGAAUACCGGAGAAUGUUAUCACGGGAGACACACGGCGGGUGCUAACGUCCGUCGUGAAGAGGGAAACAACCCAGACCGCCAGCUAAGGUCCCAAAGUCAUGGUUAAGUGGGAAACGAUGUGGGAAGGCCCAGACAGCCAGGAUGUUGGCUUAGAAGCAGCCAUCAUUUAAAGAAAGCGUAAUAGCUCACUGGUCGAGUCGGCCUGCGCGGAAGAUGUAACGGGGCUAAACCAUGCACCGAAGCUGCGGCAGCGAACGUAUCACCCAAGACAACUUUACGGAGUUGACGAUUGACGGAGCGAAGCGACGUCAAAGCGUUCAUUAAAGUCGAGUUGGCUUAGGGAUACGUUCGUUGGGUAGGGGAGCGUUCUGUAAGCCUGUGAAGGUGUGUCGUGAGGCAUGCUGGAGGUAUCAGAAGUGCGAAUGCUGACAUAAGUAACGAUAAAGCGGGUGAAAAGCCCGCUCGCCGGAAGACCAAGGGUUCCUGUCCAACGUUAAUCGGGGCAGGGUGAGUCGACCCCUAAGGCGAGGCCGAAAGGCGUAGUCGAUGGGAAACGGGUUAAUAUUCCCGUACUUGGUGUUACUGCGAAGGGGGGACGGAGAAGGCUAUGUUGGCCGGGCGACGGUUGUCCCGGUUUAAGCGUGUAGGUGUGUGUUCCAGGUAAAUCCGGUUCACUUUAACACUGAGGCGUGACGACGAGGCACUACGGUGCUGAAGCAACAAAUGCCCUGCUUCCAGGAAAAGCCUCUAAGCAUCAGGUAACAC
This 1119-nucleotide ribosomal RNA is filed under the name Salmonella enterica subsp. enterica serovar Typhimurium. RNAcentral's name for it is "partial 23S ribosomal RNA". It matches the Rfam family "Bacterial large subunit ribosomal RNA", at positions 602 to 1637 of the family's 2925-position model. Lineage: Bacteria; Pseudomonadati; Pseudomonadota; Gammaproteobacteria; Enterobacterales; Enterobacteriaceae. The record is from RNAcentral.